CCUACGGGUGGCAGCAGUGAGGAAUAUUGGUCAAUGGACGAGAGUCUGAACCAGCCAAGUAGCGUGAAGGAUGACUGCCCUAUGGGUUGUAAACUUCUUUUAUAUGGGAAUAAAACGUUCCACGUGUGGGAUUUUGUAUGUACCAUAUGAAUAAGGAUCGGCUAACUCCGUGCCAGCAGCCGCGGUAAUACGGAGGAUCCGAGCGUUAUCCGGAUUUAUUGGGUUUAAAGGGUGCGUAGGUGGAUUGUUAAGUCAGUUGUGAAAGUUUGCGGCUCAACCGUAAAAUUGCAGUUGAAACUGGCAGUCUUGAGUACAGUAGAGGUGGGCGGAAUUCGUGGUGUAGCGGUGAAAUGCUUAGAUAUCACGAAGAACUCCGAUUGCGAAGGCAGUUCACUGGACUGCAACUGACACUGAGGCUCGAAAGUGUGGGUAUCAAACAGGAUUAGAUACCCUAGUAGUC
RNAcentral lists this ribosomal RNA (460 nucleotides) under uncultured bacterium. RNAcentral describes it as "partial 16S ribosomal RNA". It matches the Rfam family "Bacterial small subunit ribosomal RNA", at positions 338 to 795 of the family's 1533-position model. The record is from RNAcentral.